Molecule: long non-coding RNA, 654 nt
Filed under: Olea europaea (common olive)
Lineage: Eukaryota; Viridiplantae; Streptophyta; Magnoliopsida; Lamiales; Oleaceae
Description: long non-coding RNA (OEUR_LNC004350)
Source: RNAcentral
UUAACUUCUCUAGAUGUACAAUCUAUUGGAACGUAAUAAUAGCUCAAGAAAGCCUUGUCCCCAUAAUUUUCAAGGCUCACUUAUACAAAUCCUCUUUUCCCACUCCAAUCCAUCAUAAUUCAUAAACCAGUUAGUAAAGUCAAGCCAUGAGAUGUGACAAAGUUUUGCUACAUCAACCUAUCGCAACCCCCUCUAAUCUGCUCAUGGGAUCAGCUAUGAGGAUACCGGUUAGUAAAAUCAAUGAUGCCAAAAUCAUUAUGUUUAAAAAUUAAUGAUCAAGAGCAUAACUGAUUGUUAUGGCCUCUAUAAAUUUAUUCUUUCUGACCAUGUGUUUCUAUAUUUAUUGGUAUUGGUGGUUACUCUAAUCAAUACCCCUUUCACGUUUUAGCAAAGUUUUGACAUCCCUCAAAGUUUGUUCUGAUAAGGAACUGCAUGGAUGGUAUAUGACUUAUCAAUGAGCAAGCAGAGAAUCCUCUAAUUCAACGUGUCAGUUUAAAAGGAUAACUAAAGUGUGAGGCCUUGAAUAACCAUCAUAGCUUGAGGGACAGCAAAGGCCACUCGUUGACUCGUCAAUCAUUAUAUAUAUAUAUAUAUAUAUUGGUGGAAAAUGACGAGGUGGAUGCAAAGGCUAAAGUAAAUAAAAUGUUAGAAUCA